CAGUAGCCGCGGGAAUACGAAGGGGGCUAGCGUUGUUCGGAAUUACUGGGCGUAAAGCGCACGUAGGCGGACAUUUAAGUCAGGGGUGAAAUCCCGGGGCUCAACCCCGGAACUGCCUUUGAUACUGGGUGUCUUGAGUGUGGAAGAGGUCAGUGGAAUUGCGAGUGUAGAGGUGAAAUUCGUAGAUAUUCGCAGGAACACCAGUGGCGAAGGCGGCUGACUGGUCCACAACUGACGCUGAGGUGCGAAAGCGUGGGGAGCAAACAGGAUUAGAUACCCCGGUAGUCCCUGUCUCUUAUAA
Molecule: ribosomal RNA, 301 nt
Filed under: uncultured bacterium
Lineage: Bacteria
Description: partial 16S ribosomal RNA
Rfam family: Bacterial small subunit ribosomal RNA
Source: RNAcentral